Molecule: ribosomal RNA, 253 nt
Filed under: uncultured bacterium
Lineage: Bacteria
Description: partial 16S ribosomal RNA
Rfam family: Bacterial small subunit ribosomal RNA
Source: RNAcentral
UACGUAGGGUGCAAGCGUUGUCCGGAAUUAUUGGGCGUAAAGGGCUCGUAGGCGGUCUGUCGCGUCGGGAGUGAAAACUCAGGGCUUAACCCUGAGCCUGCUUCCGAUACGGGCAGACUAGAGGUAUGCAGGGGAGAACGGAAUUCCUGGUGUAGCGGUGGAAUGCGCAGAUAUCAGGAGGAACACCGGUGGCGAAGGCGGUUCUCUGGGCAUUACCUGACGCUGAGGAGCGAAAGUGUGGGGAGCAAACAGG